Molecule: small RNA, 47 nt
Organism: Pirellula sp. SH-Sr6A
Lineage: Bacteria; Pseudomonadati; Planctomycetota; Planctomycetia; Pirellulales; Pirellulaceae
Rfam family: Acido-Lenti-1 RNA
Source: Rfam
CCCAGCACUGAAGUGCUGGGUUAGUGUCUGUCGUCCCUAUCGGGACU